GUAUGUACAUCUCAUUAGACUAAUUUAAGAUAAAAAACUACUAUAAAUUUACUAAUAGAUUCUAAAAUUUAAUAAUAUAAAGAAUUAUAUGUGGCUAAAAAACCCCCACCCAUAACCUAUACCUUGACCUGACUUAAAUAAUAAUACAUUAAAAGGAAAAAAAAACUAAAAUUAAUCUUAACGGAGGUAUAUAAAGUAAAAGAAAAGGAAAAGUGUAACGAGGACUAUCGAUUAAAAAUCAAGCCCCUCUAAUUAGUUAUGAGACCGCCAAAAUUCUUAAGUUUAAGGAAAACCCACUAAUACUUUUAUAUAUGAUAAUAGGGUAUCUAAUCCUAGUCUAAUUAAAAAAUUUAAGAGAAAAAACAGAAAAAUAAAAAGGUAAGAGAAAAUUUCACCUUAUCUUACCAAAUCGAAUAAGUAUAAAUCAUUCUCAAUCUUUAACUUAAUAAAGUAAUCGUAUA
This 461-nucleotide ribosomal RNA is filed under the name Atractides sp. P22. RNAcentral's name for it is "partial small subunit ribosomal RNA". The record is from RNAcentral. Lineage: Eukaryota; Metazoa; Arthropoda; Arachnida; Trombidiformes; Hygrobatidae.